ACUGUGUGCAGCGUAGGCGUGUGUCUCAGCAAUGGUGUGGAAAUGUUACAUGCUGCUGCAUGGUGGGCUACAGCAACGUUUGCCUGAACCCCCCAGUGCUGUGAGGAAAUGGAACUGAAGACGUCCUGGAGAGCAGACCUGAUCAUUGUCAAAAUAACAUGAAGGUCACAGGGCGUCUGCAAAGAUUCUCAAGAGGACAAGCAAAGUCAGAAAAAACCGUCAGAACUGAUUCAACAGAGCAUUGGUGACCCUGCUUGUUGGAGUCGUGAUGGAAGCCACUCUGGCAUUUCAGAGACGGUUUGGCCUCAUUCCGUAACGGAUGUGAGACCCCCAGGUUUGAGACCCCUGGCUGGCCAAGACGUAGGCAAGUUUAGCUGAGACAGAGCAGUGGAACACAUUGGCUGUUUCACUCUGCAAGGCUGCAGCACAUGUCUUAAUUCCUUCAGUUGCACCCCAUUAAAUCCCAUUCAUUGUUCUUGCGGUCAAAGCAAGGAUUUUCUUUUUUCAUAAUAAACUCAAAUUGCAGGUCUGUAGGAGCAUGGGAUUAUCCUGAAUGGACUGGUGACUUGAAUCUUUUCAAGUUUUCUUUAAGAAAGAAACAAUAUUUACAGUACGGAAGAGGAUAUACAUGAUACAUGAGCCGUAUUGUUUGAUAGUGCCGUUG
Long non-coding RNA from Scleropages formosus (Asian bonytongue), 664 nucleotides. RefSeq lists it as uncharacterized. The record is from RefSeq and is a predicted model, not a curated record. The transcript is spliced from 3 exons. Lineage: Eukaryota; Metazoa; Chordata; Actinopteri; Osteoglossiformes; Osteoglossidae.